GCAAACUUGGUCAUUUAGAGGAAGUAAAAGUCGUAACAAGGUCUCCGUUGGUGAACCAGCGGAGGGAUCAUUACAGAGUUAUUACAACUCCCCAACCCCUGUGAACAUACCUCUUGUUGCCUCGGCGGACCGCCCCGGCGCCCUCGCGGCCCGGACCCAGGCGCCCGCCGGAGGACCUACAAACUCUUGUAUUAUUUGAAUCUUCUGAGUCUUAUAAACAAAUAAAUCAAAACUUUCAACAACGGAUCUCUUGGUUCUGGCAUCGAUGAAGAACGCAGC
RNAcentral lists this unclassified non-coding RNA (279 nucleotides) under uncultured fungus. RNAcentral's name for it is "partial contains small subunit ribosomal RNA, internal transcribed spacer 1, and 5.8S ribosomal RNA". The stretch from base 1 to 73 matches the Rfam family "Eukaryotic small subunit ribosomal RNA", at positions 1759 to 1831 of the family's 1831-position model. Lineage: Eukaryota; Fungi. The record is from RNAcentral.